CCUGGCUUGGUGCCAGGGGUGGGAGUACCUGGAACUGGCAUCCUUCCUGGGGCAGGCAUCCCCCAAGUAGGGGUGCAGCCUGGUGCUAAACCUCCCAAAUUUGGUACGUACCCCUGCUUCUUGCCCCAGGGCCACCUCGGGCUGUCCCCGGGCACCCUUCUCCUGUGGCCAUCGGGGUGCUGACCUCUCUUCCUGUCCCCUACAUGCCCACUUUGCCCUGAUGGCCUAGGUGUGGGAAGUGGUGUGCUGUCACCCAUGGGUGCAAAGUGCCACCUGUAUCCCCUGCCCUGGACUCGCUGAGGACAGUUUUCUCCUUCAUGUGUCAUGCAGGGGCUGAAGCCCCUCUGGGUACUGUGAGAUGGGUGCUGGGGACUCCCAACAUGGGUGCCAGGGCCACCCCAACAGGUUGGGCAGUGGCUGGGGGUGCUCCGAGCUGGGGGUGCCAGGCUGUGGGGGACAGGUGUUAAUGCUGUCUCUCUGGCAGGUGUUCCUGGGGUUGGAGUCCCAGGGGUUGGUGGCCUCCCAGGUGGCCUUGGAGUCGGUGGGCUCGGAGUUGGUGGCCUCGGUGAGUGAUGCUGGUCCCGGCGUGGGGCUCCCCAGGGCUGGGCUGCAGGGAGCAGCAGCAGCAGCAACGGAGUGCUGGCAGAGCCAUGAAAAGGGAGUCUGUGGGUCACUUCUGUCCCCUCCCAGUCUGGGAGUACAAUCCCACUCUGCACUGUCACUGUCCCCUGUCCUGUUUGUCACCUGCCCUGUUCCCAGGGGGUGA
Molecule: long non-coding RNA, 766 nt
Filed under: Serinus canaria (Common canary)
Lineage: Eukaryota; Metazoa; Chordata; Aves; Passeriformes; Fringillidae
Description: lncRNA (ENSSCAG00000004340.1)
Source: RNAcentral